UCCACAUGGAUGUGUGCUCCUCCCACAAC
RNAcentral lists this non-coding RNA (29 nucleotides) under Mus musculus (house mouse). Lineage: Eukaryota; Metazoa; Chordata; Mammalia; Rodentia; Muridae. The record is from RNAcentral.